This 100-nucleotide small nucleolar RNA is filed under the name Sorghum bicolor (sorghum). Its description in RNAcentral is "snoRNA snoR30". It matches the Rfam family "Small nucleolar RNA R30/Z108". From Rfam's summary of the family: snoR30 is a C/D box small nucleolar RNA which acts as a methylation guide for 18S ribosomal RNA in plants. The record is from Rfam by way of RNAcentral. Lineage: Eukaryota; Viridiplantae; Streptophyta; Magnoliopsida; Poales; Poaceae.
UGGUGUUAUGAUGAUGUGAAACAAGCUCCCUCUUCUGAACGAAUUGAGGACAGUUGCUGGCAGAAUCGAACCAAUGAACCUUAUUGCCACAACUGAGUAA